Long non-coding RNA from Solanum lycopersicum (tomato), 2613 nucleotides. RefSeq lists it as uncharacterized. The record is from RefSeq and is a predicted model, not a curated record. Lineage: Eukaryota; Viridiplantae; Streptophyta; Magnoliopsida; Solanales; Solanaceae.
GAUUAGAAUACAAUUUUAUUGAAAUACAAUUUAGAUAUGGACAACGUUAGUUUUUUUCUGGUCAUGCAUUUGGGAAGAUGGGAUGAAAUAAUUACAGCUAUUAUGAUGAAAAAGUAUGCAACAUUUAGAGAUUUAGUGGAGGAAGUUGUUAAAAUAAUUAGUGUUGAUUUGACAUACAAUUGUAUGAAGUUGAAGUAUAAGAUCGAAGUUAGCAAUGCACCAUUGAAAAUACACAACGAGGUGAGUGUAAGAGUGUAUGUGUGUUAAAGAAAGAUAGCAGGAUUGUCAAAGUAUCCCCUACGUGUAACUGUAUUUGUGAAGGAUUGUGAAUUGUUUGAUAGAAAUCUUCAGGAACAAGGGGUAGGUAUGUGUGGAUUAGAUGCAGAUAAUACAUCUGAUAAAACAAACAUUAGUGCUUAGUGCGUCAUUCGUGAGCGAUGUGAUCAGCUGCGAAAAGAAAAGGUAAUGGUAGAUCAAGUUUAUAAAGACAAGGCAACAACAAAGGCUGUGAUGACACACUGCCAUUGAACAGAGAUUUCAGUGGAAAUGUUUGUGCUUUCGUCAUCCGGUAGCUAUGGCGGCAGAAAGAAUAGAUCAUACUCAUCACAUAUAUGUGCAUCCUUCAUAGCAGGCUACAGUAUACUAAACCCAGUCCAAUUGAAAGGAUUUGAGAAUUAUGGGCAAUGGCGUAGUCCAACGCUAAUUGCAUAGCAGGCUAAGAGGAAAGUAGGGCUUGUUGCAGGUGCGUAUAAGAAGGAUUCAUUUUGUGAGGAACAUCAUGAACAUUGGGAAACUUGCAGUGCUUUGGUUCUAUCUUGGAUCAUGAAUACAAUUUGCAAAUGCUCAACAAGGAGAAUGCAAAUAAGGGAACUACUGCAGUCUGCAGCUGCAACCAACACAACAGGACCUUCUCACUGUGCCUCAACUUCAGCUUCAAUUGUCGUCACCAAGCCUGAUGCGGAGCUAUGGCACAAGAGGAUUGGAAAGAUUCCAGUAGAGCUCUACAAUAAAUGUCCCUCAUAAAAUCAACUAGUCUUGAUAAGAACCUCUCUUGUUCUAUUUUUCCACUUGCAAAGCAAACAAGACUUUCUUUCACUGUUAAUGUCAGUAGAGCUAGUAAUCCUUUUGAUUUAGUCCAUGGAGAUGUUUUAGGUCCUUAAAAAACUCCCACAUAUGAUGUGAAUAUAGUUUUUCUUACAAUAGUAGAUGAUUAUAGUAGGAUGACUUGGUUGUUCUUAUUGAAACUCGAUAGUGAUGUUAAUACUGUAGUAAAAAAGUUCUUGUUGCUAAUAAAAAUCAGCUUGCUAUUUGUCAAAGUUUUCAUAAGUGAUGAUAAAACUAAGUUCCUUAAUGCACACUAUGAAGAUUUACUCAAGUCUGUAGGAGUUGUUCUACAGAGCUCAUGUGUUCACACAUUCCAAUAGAAUGGGAUGGUUGAACGAAAAUAUAGACAAAUGCUUGAGGUGGAAAGAUCUCUUAGAUUCCAAGAUCACAUACCCUUGAGAUUCUGGGGGUUAUGCGUUCAGAAGGCAGUAUAUUUCAUCAAUGGAAUACCUUUCAGGACCUUGCUAAACAAUCACCUUUUGAAGUUCUCUAUUGAAGAGAGUCAAAUGUACAGUACCUAAGAUUCUAGGUAGCUUAUGUUAUGCAACUAUCACCCAGGAUACUGGUGACAAGUUUGGACUCGGGACUGAGAAAGCAGUUCAUUUAGGCUAUUCUAGCACACCGAAAGGUUACCUUCUUUAUGGCAUUGAGAGGAAGCAAUUGUUUGUUAAUAGAUAUGUUGUAUUUAAGGAAGGUGUCUUUUCUUUCCAAACAAUGUCUGGCUCAGAUUCAUCUACUGACUCUCAUUUGCAGGUAUUAAAUUUUCAUAGCAUCAUUGUUUCAAACGCUACUUAUUCUCUCAGACAUAGUAGGGGAAGUUGGACCACAACAUCCAGGUUCACCUCCUAUAUUAGCUCCACCAGAACCUAUGGAACCUAGGAGUACCAAUAGAGUGCCCAAGCCUCCGAAUCGGUUGCAUGAUUUUGUCCAUACACCUCUACCUUCUAAUAUAGAAUCAAGAUCCAAUGCUUGUCUAUAUCCCUGGUCUGUAUGCAUCGUUAGCUACAUCGUAUUACCAUUCCAUCUGCUAUUAUUCAGCAAUUAAAGAGUCUACAUGUCAUAUUGAAGCCAUGAAGGACACACACCUGUUAGCUGCCACAUUGAAGCCAUGAAGGACACACACCUGUUAGCUGCCACGAAGUAGGAACUUCAAGCUCUCACCAAUAACAAAACUUGGUGUUUGGUUGAUAUGCCUACUGAUAAAAAGGUUAUUGGCUGUAAGUGGGUCUUCUAGGUGGAAGUAUAAUGCAGAAAGAGAAGUGGAAAGAUACAAGGAUAAGCUAGUGGAAAAGGGAUAUAUAAAAUACUUUCAUAGUCACUCUUUAAGUUUUGGCUUUGUGACUUCAGACUUUUUUAUCAACUCCAUCGAAUGAAAAACCACAUGGUCAGAAACAGGAGGAUAAAAAAGACAUCAUAUUAUCAUUACUCAAUAACAAAGAGAUCAAAAACCAGUACAAACAUCUUACUAUUAUCAAGAGAACCAUUUCGACAUGCUCCAAUUAAAAAAAG